GCCGGUGUGGCGGAAUUGGCAGACGCACUUGACUCAAAAUCAAGCGGUUUAACAGCCGUGCCGGUUCGAGUCCGGCCACCGGCA
This 84-nucleotide transfer RNA is filed under the name [Ruminococcus] lactaris. Its description in RNAcentral is "tRNA-Leu". It matches the Rfam family "tRNA". From Rfam's summary of the family: Transfer RNA (tRNA) molecules are approximately 80 nucleotides in length. Their secondary structure includes four short double-helical elements and three loops (D, anti-codon, and T loops). RNAcentral also lists the same sequence under 7 other names. The record is from RNAcentral. Lineage: Bacteria; Bacillati; Bacillota; Clostridia; Lachnospirales; Lachnospiraceae.